RNAcentral lists this long non-coding RNA (235 nucleotides) under Elaeis guineensis (African oil palm). Its description in RNAcentral is "long non-coding RNA (EGUI_LNC022421)". The record is from RNAcentral. Lineage: Eukaryota; Viridiplantae; Streptophyta; Magnoliopsida; Arecales; Arecaceae.
GUAUCAAAAAGAUCCUAAGAGGUGGUGUCUCGGCCAGAUAUUCAGAAUAUAAGAUGCAUUCACCGAUAGAAAAUUCUAUCUUGGAUAAUUUUUUAUAUUGCAUAUGAAGACUUCUACAUCCUGAAGCAUAUCUUGAUCAAAUCAAGCUUGAUCUCUGUUAAACUGGAUUUGGAAUAUGCCAUCGAUACGGUGCACUUGGAUUUCAUCAAGGAAGUACUACUUUGGCUUCAACCAU